RNAcentral lists this ribosomal RNA (468 nucleotides) under uncultured bacterium. RNAcentral describes it as "partial 16S ribosomal RNA". It matches the Rfam family "Bacterial small subunit ribosomal RNA", at positions 28 to 507 of the family's 1533-position model. The record is from RNAcentral.
GACGAACGCUGGCGGCGUGCUUAACACAUGCAAGUCGAACGGAAAGGCCCUGCUUUUGUGGGGUGCUCGAGUGGCGAACGGGUGAGUAACACGUGAGUAACCUGCCCUGGACUUUGGGAUAACUUCAGGAAACUGGGGCUAAUACCGGAUAGGAGCUCCUGCUGCAGGGUGGGGGUUGGAAAGUUUCGGCGGUUGGGGAUGGACGCGCGGCUUAUCAGCUUGUUGGUGGGGUAGUGGCUUACCAAGGCUUUGACGGGUAGCCGGCCUGAGAGGGUGACCGGCCACAUUGGGACUGAGAUACGGCCCAGACUCCUACGGGAGGCAGCAGUGGGGAAUAUUGCACAAUGGGCGGAAGCCUGAUGCAGCAACGCCGCGUGCGGGAUGACGGCCUUCGGGUUGUAAACCGCUUUCGCCUGUGACGAAGCGUGAGUGACGGUAAUGGGUAAAGAAGCACCGGCUAACUACGUG